Molecule: long non-coding RNA, 735 nt
Organism: Corapipo altera (White-ruffed manakin)
Lineage: Eukaryota; Metazoa; Chordata; Aves; Passeriformes; Pipridae
Exons: 2
Source: RefSeq, a predicted model, not a curated record
UGCCACCGCCGUUUGAACUGCCAUGACAGCUGGCAGCCAGUCAAAUGCUGCAGUCACAGGGUUUACCUUAUAAGGUAUGAUUAUCUGUUGGUGUUGGGUUAUAAAAGGAGGGCUGCAACUCCAAUAAACUAGUCUCAGUUUCACCCCCCUGAGUCCGUGCCUCAAUACACCACAAAUGGUGCCCCAUGUUGGGGCAUGAAAGAAAUUAAGCUGUUUCUCCAGUGGUGUAGCUCAGCUGAACACAAGGAAGGAAAAAGCACUGAAAGGAAGCGACAAGAGAGCUCUCAAUUACCUUACGCUGGAUGAUAAGAAGGAGCUGAAAUUUUGUGUGCCACCCCUGCCCCAUGACCCACCCCAACCGCAAUCUCCCGUGUUGCCUUUCGUGUCGCCAGAGCCGCCUUCAUUGCCAGCAUCGCUGCGGCCACCUAAGGCACAGCCUGCAGCGUGGCCAGAAACAAAGGCCUCCUCCUCCACACCACAUUCACGUGGACUUCUCUUCUGUGGUUCCGCUGCCACAGCACCAGUUUCUCGGUCAGAUGACUCCGAGGAGGACCCAGAACUCACAGAUAAGAAAAAAGAUUUAACCUUUCACUCUCCUGACUUGCCUGACAAGUGCGGGGGGAGGCGAGACUAGCAGGGGACACGGCAGUCUUAAAAGCUUUCCCAGUCCUGGUCUCGCCUGACCAGGACCCUCACUGGGAGGGUCUGUCAUAUGCUCUUAUUAAAGAUGUAAGG